UGGGGGAUAUUGCGCAAUGGGGGCAACCCUGACGCAGCAACGCCGCGUGAAGGAUGAAGGUUUUCGGAUUGUAAACUUCUUUUAUUAAGGACGAAAAUUGACGGUACUUAAUGAAUAAGCUCCGGCUAACUACGUGCCAGCAGCCGCGGUAAUACGUAGGGAGCAAGCGUUGUCCGGAUUUACUGGGUGUAAAGGGUGCGUAGGCGGCUUUGCAAGUCAGAUGUGAAAUCUAUGGGCUCAACCCAUAAACUGCAUUUGAAACUGUAGAGCUUGAGUGAAGUAGAGGCAGGCGGAAUUCCCCGUGUAGCGGUGAAAUGCGUAGAGAUGGGGAGGAACACCAGUGGCGAAGGCGGCCUGCUGGGCUUUAACUGACGCUGAGGCACGAAAGCGUGGGUAGCAAACAGGAUUAGAUACCCUGGUAGUCCACGCUGUAAACGAUGAUUACUAGGUGUGGGGGGUCUGACCCCUUCCGUGCCGGAGUUAACACAAUAAGUAAUCCACCUGGGGAGUACGGCCGCAAGGUUGAAACUCAAAGGAAUUGACGGGGGCCCGCACAAGCAGUGGAGUAUGUGGUUUAAUUCGAAGCAACGCGAAGAACCUUACCAGGUCUUGACAUCCAACUAACGAAGUAGAGAUACAUUAGGUGCCUUUCGGGGAAAGUUGAGACAGGUGGUGCAUGGUUGUCGUCAGCUCGUGUCGUGAGAUGUUGGGUUAAGUCCCGCAACGAGCGCAACCCUUGCUAUUAGUUGCUACGCAAGAGCACUCUAAUAGGACUGCCGUUGACAAAACGGAGGAAGGUGGGGACGACGUCAAAUCAUCAUGCCCCUUAUGACCUGGGCUACACACGUACUACAAUGGAUGUUAACAGAGGGAAGCAAGACAGUGAUGUGGAGCAAACCCCUAAAAACAUUCUCAGUUCAGAUUGCAGGCUGCAACCCGCCUGCAUGAAGAUGGAAUUGCUAGUAAUCGCGGAUCAGAAUGCCGCGGUGAAUACGUUCCC
Molecule: ribosomal RNA, 1000 nt
Filed under: uncultured bacterium
Lineage: Bacteria
Description: bacterial SSU rRNA
Rfam family: Bacterial small subunit ribosomal RNA
Source: RNAcentral